CCUACGGGAGGCAGCAGUGAGGAAUAUUGGUCAAUGGACGGGAGACUGAACCAGCCAAGUCGCGUGAGGGAGGAAGGCACAGAGUAUCGUAAACCUCUUUUGUCAGGGAACAAAGGCGGGGACGUGUCCCCGGAUGCGUGUACCUGAAGAAAAAGCAUCGGCUAACUCCGUGCCAGCAGCCGCGGUAAUACGGAGGAUCCGAGCGUUAUCCGGAUUUAUUGGGUUUAAAGGGAGCGCAGGGGGUCCUUUAAGUCAGCGGUAAAAGCCCGGGGCUCAACCCCGCCCCGCCGUUGAAACUGGAAGUCUCGAGUUGGCGAGAGGUAUGCGGAAUGCGCGGUGUAGCGGUGAAAUGCAUAGAUAUCGCGCAGAACUCCGAUUGCGAAGGCAGCAUGCCGGCUCCAGACUGACGCUGAGGCACGAAAGCGUGGGUAUCGAACAGGAUUAGAUACCCGUGUAGUC
RNAcentral lists this ribosomal RNA (459 nucleotides) under uncultured bacterium. RNAcentral's name for it is "partial 16S ribosomal RNA". It matches the Rfam family "Bacterial small subunit ribosomal RNA", at positions 338 to 795 of the family's 1533-position model. The record is from RNAcentral.